AAGCCAGUGAAAUAAACCCUGGUGGAAUUCACCAGAAGCCACUGGGCCUCCUAUGGUAUACAGAACCCACAGGUGAAGGAGAGCUGACAGAUGUGGUAAUUAACAGAGAGCAGCUGACAGAAUGGCCACCUGUGAAGGAUCCAGGGUGAAGACUGAAGAAGUCAUUGAAUAUAGUAGAACUGUAGUCUACAGCAAUCAUGAGAAUUGGUCUGGCACCCAGCUAAGUUGGUAGAUAAUGUUAGAGCAAGGAUGGACGAUGACAAGGCUAAGUCUGUCUCAAGGCAUGUUACGCCACCCCAAAGGCUCAGAGACAGUACAGUAGAGGAGGCAGGACGACUUGAGCUAGAAGACACACAAGGCUGUGAAAUGCCUUCUGGAUUCAACACAGCUAUCAUAAUCUUGAACUCACAACAGCUUGUGAUUAUCUUUACUGGGGCUACACAAGACUGCCCUGCAGUCAUGAAGUGGGGAGGUCGUGGGGCUCCCUGCAGAGCUAUUGGGGAGCCCACCAGGCUCCAACAGACAGUUCCAAACUCAUUGUUACACAGAUGGCCCUAGAUUAACUCAGUGGGUCACAGAACAAAACAGACACAGAUUUGGGAAAGGGUUUUGUAGGGACUGACAGAGAGGGCUUACAGGGUGGGGGAAGGAGAUAUAAAAGAGUGUGGAACAUAAGUAAUUCUAAUGAAUUAUAUACAAGUAUGAAAUUGUUGAAGAAGAAAUUAUUGCAAAAAGCAAUUAGCUUCAAAUUAAUUUUAAAUAACUUGUAACUUGUAUUUUAGAAAAUAAUUUAAUAUUUACUAUUAAAUUUGAUUAAAAUAUUUUAAUAAUCAGCAACAACUGUAAUCAAACUUUUGGGGCUUUUUGCUAAAAUCAGUAUGUUACAGAUUUCAGAAUGCUAAUAAAGACUGUUUAAUAUGGGUAACCUA
Molecule: long non-coding RNA, 929 nt
Organism: Grammomys surdaster
Lineage: Eukaryota; Metazoa; Chordata; Mammalia; Rodentia; Muridae
Exons: 3
Source: RefSeq, a predicted model, not a curated record